UUCGAGUGGCGGACGGGUGAGUAACGCGUGGGUAACCUGCCUUACACAGGGGGAUAACACCUGGAAACAGGUGCUAAUACCGCAUAAGCGCACAGGGCCGCAUGGCCCGGUGUGAAAAACUCCGGUGGUAUGAGAUGGGUCCGCGUCUGAUUAGCUAGUUGGCAGGGGUAACGGCCUACCAAGGCGACGAUCAGUAGCCGGCCUGAGAGGGUGUACCGGCCACAUUGGGACUGAGACACGGCCCAAACUCCUACGGAAGGCAGCAG
Molecule: ribosomal RNA, 266 nt
Filed under: uncultured bacterium
Lineage: Bacteria
Description: partial 16S ribosomal RNA
Rfam family: Bacterial small subunit ribosomal RNA
Source: RNAcentral